This 253-nucleotide ribosomal RNA is filed under the name uncultured bacterium. RNAcentral describes it as "partial 16S ribosomal RNA". It matches the Rfam family "Bacterial small subunit ribosomal RNA", at positions 524 to 776 of the family's 1533-position model. The record is from RNAcentral.
UACGUAGGGGGCGAGCGUUGUCCGGAAUUAUUGGGCGUAAAGAGCUUGUAGGCGGUUUGUCGCGUCUGCCGUGAAAAUCCGGGGCUCAACCCCGGACUUGCGGUGGGUACGGGCAGACUAGAGUGUGGUAGGGGAGACUGGAAUUCCUGGUGUAGCGGUGAAAUGCGCAGAUAUCAGGAGGAACACCGAUGGCGAAGGCAGGUCUCUGGGCCACUACUGACGCUGAGAAGCGAAAGCGUGGGGAGCGAACAGG